UGAGACCUCAGUCAGACGGGAUUACCCGCUGA
RNAcentral lists this ribosomal RNA (32 nucleotides) under Canavalia mattogrossensis. RNAcentral describes it as "partial 26S ribosomal RNA". The record is from RNAcentral. Lineage: Eukaryota; Viridiplantae; Streptophyta; Magnoliopsida; Fabales; Fabaceae.